CCUGUCUCAAGGCCACACCUUCCACCUGCAGUGGAGUCUUCCACACCCAGCGCUUCGACCUUUACCAGCAGGCCUCCCCACCAGAUGCCCUGCACUGGAUACCUAAGCCUUGGGAAUGGACACGGCCGCCACCUCGAAAAGGGCCCUCCCAAAAGGCAGAGGAGCCUGGGUCCCAAGGGGACAAGGAGCCUGGUUUGCCCCCACC
RNAcentral lists this long non-coding RNA (205 nucleotides) under Homo sapiens (human). RNAcentral describes it as "non-protein coding lnc-POM121-5:1". The record is from RNAcentral. Lineage: Eukaryota; Metazoa; Chordata; Mammalia; Primates; Hominidae.